AUGCAAGUCGAACGGCAGCACGGAGCUUGCUCUGGUGGCGAGUGGCGAACGGGUGAGUAAUAUAUCGGAACGUACCCUGGAGUGGGGGAUAACGUAGCGAAAGUUACGCUAAUACCGCAUACGAUCUAAGGAUGAAAGUGGGGGAUCGCAAGACCUCAUGCUCGUGGAGCGGCCGAUAUCUGAUUAGCUAGUUGGUGGGGUAAAGGCCUACCAAGGCAUCGAUCAGUAGCUGGUCUGAGAGGACGACCAGCCACACUGGAACUGAGACACGGUCCAGACUCCUACGGGAGGCAGCAGUGGGGAAUUUUGGACAAUGGGCGAAAGCCUGAUCCAGCAAUGCCGCGUGAGUGAAGAAGGCCUUCGGGUUGUAAAGCUCUUUUGUCAGGGAAGAAACGGUGAGGGCUAAUAUCUCUUGCUAAUGACGGUACCUGAAGAAUAAGCACCGGCUAACUACGUGCCAGCAGCCGCGGUAAUACGUAGGGUGCAAGCGUUAAUCGGAAUUACUGGGCGUAAAGCGUGCGCAGGCGGUUUUGUAAGUCUGAUGUGAAAUCCCCGGGCUCAACCUGGGAAUUGCAUUGGAGACUGCAAGGCUAGAAUCUGGCAGAGGGGGGUAGAAUUCCACGUGUAGCAGUGAAAUGCGUAGAUAUGUGGAGGAACACCGAUGGCGAAGGCAGCCCCCUGGGUCAAGAUUGACGCUCAUGCACGAAAGCGUGGGGAGCAAACAGGAUUAGAUACCCUGGUAGUCCACGCCCUAAACGAUGUCCACUAGUUGUCGGGUCUUAAUUGACUUGGUAACGCAGCUAACGCGUGAAGUAGACCGCCUGGGGAGUACGGUCGCAAGAUUAAAGCUCAAAGGAAUUGACGGGGACCCGCACAAGCGGUGGAUGAUGUG
Molecule: ribosomal RNA, 892 nt
Filed under: uncultured Janthinobacterium sp.
Lineage: Bacteria; Pseudomonadati; Pseudomonadota; Betaproteobacteria; Burkholderiales; Oxalobacteraceae
Description: bacterial SSU rRNA
Rfam family: Bacterial small subunit ribosomal RNA
Source: RNAcentral